Molecule: long non-coding RNA, 497 nt
Organism: Tupaia belangeri chinensis (Chinese tree shrew)
Lineage: Eukaryota; Metazoa; Chordata; Mammalia; Scandentia; Tupaiidae
Exons: 3
Source: RefSeq, a predicted model, not a curated record
CAACCGCGCGCGCCGAGGAGCCUCGCGCCUUCUCCCCGCUAGAUGGCAGUAGGCGCUCGGCGCUGCGACCCCGGCCGCGGAGUAGGGCGCAAGCCUCGCGCGCCCAGCGCUGGGCCCUUCCGCAACCGCCGCGAGCCCCGGAGGCGGGGCCUGGGAUGGCGUGUCUCCACCCGGGAUCCCGACGAGUUGAUUAUUUUCCAUUGACAAUAUGAUGACCAUGAAGGGACCAGAGAUGAACCUGAGAUCUUCUGAGGGGUCGCUUUGAACCUGGUACAUGUGCCCUCUCCGACUCCAAGCCUCUCCUGGGGGAGAUUCGUCCUUUCCAGAGGGCCUGGGGGAGCCACAACCACAGAUGCCGACAGACCUUUUUCACCCAUUAGCAACGGGAUUCUUCCUACAUCCUGCCCUUGGCAUACUAUUGGAGUAUCUUCGUGAUGUAUAUUAAGCCUCCUUAUCUCUGUUAAAGUACAUUCCUUUCUGAUCUCAGCAACCUUCCU